RNAcentral lists this ribosomal RNA (1100 nucleotides) under Trichoderma sp. RNAcentral describes it as "SSU rRNA". It matches the Rfam family "Eukaryotic small subunit ribosomal RNA", at positions 45 to 1157 of the family's 1831-position model. Lineage: Eukaryota; Fungi; Ascomycota; Sordariomycetes; Hypocreales; Hypocreaceae. The record is from RNAcentral.
AGGGUCUCAUGUCUAGUAUAAGCAAUUAUACCGCGAAACUGCGAAUGGCUCAUUAUAUAAGUUAUCGUUUAUUUGAUAAUACUUUACUACUUGGAUAACCGUGGUAAUUCUAGAGCUAAUACAUGCUAAAAAUCCCGACUUCGGAAGGGUUGUAUUUAUUAGAUUAAAAACCAAUGCCCCUCGGGGCUCUCUGGUGAAUCAUGAUAACUAGUCGAAUCGACAGGCCUUGUGCCGGCGAUGGCUCAUUCAAAUUUCUUCCCUAUCAACUUUCGAUGUUUGGGUCUUGUCCAAACAUGGUGGCAACGGGUAACGGAGGGUUAGGGCUCGACCCCGGAGAAGGAGCCUGAGAAACGGCUACUACAUCCAAGGAAGGCAGCAGGCGCGCAAAUUACCCAAUCCCGACACGGGGAGGUAGUGACAAUAAAUACUGAUACAGGGCUCUUUUGGGUCUUGUAAUCGGAAUGAGUACAAUUUAAAUCCCUUAACGAGGAACAAUUGGAGGGCAAGUCUGGUGCCAGCAGCCGCGGUAAUUCCAGCUCCAAUAGCGUAUAUUAAAGUUGUUGUGGUUAAAAAGCUCGUAGUUGAACCUUGGGCCUGGCUGGCCGGUCCGCCUCACCGCGUGCACUGGUCCGGCCGGGCCUUUCCCUCUGCGGAACCCCAUGCCCUUCACUGGGUGUGGCGGGGAAACAGGACUUUUACUUUGAAAAAAUUAGAGUGCUCAAGGCAGGCCUAUGCUCGAAUACAUUAGCAUGGAAUAAUAGAAUAGGACGUGUGGUUCUAUUUUGUUGGUUUCUAGGACCGCCGUAAUGAUUAAUAGGGACAGUCGGGGGCAUCAGUAUUCAAUUGUCAGAGGUGAAAUUCUUGGAUUUAUUGAAGACUAACUACUGCGAAAGCAUUUGCCAAGGAUGUUUUCAUUAAUCAGGAACGAAAGUUAGGGGAUCGAAGACGAUCAGAUACCGUCGUAGUCUUAACCAUAAACUAUGCCGACUAGGGAUCGGACGAUGUUACAUUUUUGACGCGUUCGGCACCUUACGAGAAAUCAAAGUGCUUGGGCUCCAGGGGGGAGUAUGGUCGCAAGGCUGAAACUUAAAGAAAUUGAC